Molecule: long non-coding RNA, 244 nt
Filed under: Lynx pardinus (Iberian lynx)
Lineage: Eukaryota; Metazoa; Chordata; Mammalia; Carnivora; Felidae
Source: RNAcentral
CCAUUUUGAGGCCAGAUUUAGUGAAGAGAACUUGCCAGAAGAUUAGGACUGUCUUCCAAAUACUUAAGCAAAUUUUGUGUUGAAAGCAAACUGCUGAAGAAAUAUAACCAUAUGCUUUUAAAAUGAGGCCUCUGCAAUCGAGGGACAUAAAGCAACUGCCACAUGCUCAUGACCUCCCCCUCCCCCCACUUAAUAAGGCACCUUUAUUUCACCAGAAAUAAAAUUUUAUUAGUAACGUGUCAAA